Molecule: ribosomal RNA, 757 nt
Filed under: Bacillus pumilus
Lineage: Bacteria; Bacillati; Bacillota; Bacilli; Caryophanales; Bacillaceae
Description: bacterial SSU rRNA
Rfam family: Bacterial small subunit ribosomal RNA
Source: RNAcentral
ACCUGCCUGUAAGACUGGGAUAACUCCGGGAAACCCGGAGCUAAUACCGGAUAGUUCCUUGAACCGCAUGGUUCAAGGAUGAAAGACGGUUUCGGCUGUCACUUACAGAUGGACCCGCGGCGCAUUAGCUAGUUGGUGGGGUAAUGGCUCACCAAGGCGACGAUGCGUAGCCGACCUGAGAGGGUGAUCGGCCACACUGGGACUGAGACACGGCCCAGACUCCUACGGGAGGCAGCAGUAGGGAAUCUUCCGCAAUGGACGAAAGUCUGACGGAGCAACGCCGCGUGAGUGAUGAAGGUUUUCGGAUCGUAAAGCUCUGUUGUUAGGGAAGAACAAGUGCGAGAGUAACUGCUCGCACCUUGACGGUACCUAACCAGAAAGCCACGGCUAACUACGUGCCAGCAGCCGCGGUAAUACGUAGGUGGCAAGCGUUGUCCGGAAUUAUUGGGCGUAAAGGGCUCGCAGGCGGUUUCUUAAGUCUGAUGUGAAAGCCCCCGGCUCAACCGGGGAGGGUCAUUGGAAACUGGGAAACUUGAGUGCAGAAGAGGAGAGUGGAAUUCCACGUGUAGCGGUGAAAUGCGUAGAGAUGUGGAGGAACACCAGUGGCGAAGGCGACUCUCUGGUCUGUAACUGACGCUGAGGAGCGAAAGCGUGGGGAGCGAACAGGAUUAGAUACCCUGGUAGUCCACGCCGUAAACGAUGAGUGCUAAGUGUUAGGGGGUUUCCGCCCCUUAGUGCUGCAGCUAACGCAUUAAGC